This 259-nucleotide unclassified non-coding RNA is filed under the name plant metagenome. Its description in RNAcentral is "partial contains small subunit ribosomal RNA, internal transcribed spacer 1, and 5.8S ribosomal RNA". The record is from RNAcentral.
UUUCCGUAGGUGAACCUGCGGAAGGAUCAUUAAAAGUAAAUAUGUAUUCUCUCGAAUAUGCAUUUUCAAACCCAUCUGCGUACAUUACCCGUUGCUUCCGCGAGGCAGUGAUCUUCGAUCACCUCCCGACGAUGGCGUAGGUCAUCCGGUGGGGAGCCCUCGCGAAAGGUUUACACCAAACCCUUGCAUUCCUAUGUCAUCUGUCUGAAACUGUUUAUAACAAAUGUUAAAACUUUCAACAACGGAUCUCUUGGUUCUC